AAGGGCGUUGAAGCAUGAUCGUAAGGACAUGUGGAGCGCUUAGAAGUGAGAAUGCCGGUGUGAGUAGCGAAAGACGGGUGAGAAUCCCGUCCACCGAUUGACUAAGGUUUCCAGAGGAAGGCUCGUCCGCUCUGGGUUAGUCGGGUCCUAAGCUGAGGCCGACAGGCGUAGGCGAUGGAUAACAGGUUGAUAUUCCUGUACCACCUAUAAUCGUUUUAAUCGAUGGGGGGACGCAGUAGGAUAGGCGAAGCGUGCGAUUGGAUUGCACGUCUAAGCAGUAAGGCUGAGUAUUAGGCAAAUCCGGUACUCAUUAAGGCUGAGCUGUGAUGGGGAGAAGACAUUGUGUCUUCGAGUCGUUGAUUUCACACUGCCGAGAAAAGCCUCUAGAUAGAAAAUAGGUGCCCGUACCGCAAACCGACACAGGUAGUCAAGAUGAGAAUUCUAAGGUGAGCGAGCGAACUCUCGUUAAGGAACUCGGCAAAAUGACCCCGUAACUUCGGGAGAAGGGGUGCUCUUUAGGGUUAACGCCCAGAAGAGCCGCAGUGAAUAGGCCCAAGCGACUGUUUAUCAAAAACACAGGUCUCUGCUAAACCGUAAGGUGAUGUAUAGGGGCUGACGCCUGCCCGGUGCUGGAAGGUUAAGAGGAGUGGUUAGCUUCUGCGAAGCUACGAAUCGAAGCCCCAGUAAACGGCGGCCGUAACUAUAACGGUCCUAAGGUAGCGAAAUUCCUUGUCGGGUAAGUUCCGACCCGCACGAAAGGCGUAACGAUUUGGGCACUGUCUCAACGAGAGACUCGGUGAAAUCAUAGUACCUGUGAAGAUGCAGGUUACCCGCGACAGGACGGAAAGACCCCGUGGAGCUUUACUGUAGCCUGAUAUUGAAAUUCGGCACAGCUUGUACAGGAUAGGUAGGAGCCUUUGAAACGUGAGCGCUAGCUUACGUGGAGGCGCUGGUGGGAUACUACCCUAGCUGUGUUGGCUUUCUAACCCGCACCACUUAUCGUGGUGGGAGACAGUGUCAGGCGGGCAGUUUGACUGGGGCGGUCGCCUCCUAAAAGGUAACGGAGGCGCUCAAAGGUUCCCUCAGAAUGGUUGGAAAUCAUUCAUAGAGUGUAAAGGCAUAAGGGAGCUUGACUGCGAGACCUACAAGUCGAGCAGGGUCGAAAGACGGACUUAGUGAUCCGGUGGUUCCGCAUGGAAGGGCCAUCGCUCAACGGAUAAAAGCUACCCCGGGGAUAACAGGCUUAUCUCCCCCAAGAGUUCACAUCGACGGGGAGGUUUGGCACCUCGAUGUCGGCUCAUCGCAUCCUGGGGCUGUAGUCGGUCCCAAGGGUUGGGCUGUUCGCCCAUUAAAGCGGUACGCGAGCUGGGUUCAGAACGUCGUGAGACAGUUCGGUCCCUAUCCGUCGUGGGCGUAGGAAAUUUGAGAGGAGCUGUCCUUAGUACGAGAGGACCGGGAUGGACAUACCUCUGGUGUACCAGUUGUCGUGCCAACGGCAUAGCUGGGUAGCUAUGUGUGGACGGGAUAAGUGCUGAAAGCAUCUAAGCAUGAAGCCCCCCUCAAGAUGAGAUUUCCCAACUUCGGUUAUAAGAUCCCUCAAAGAUGAUGAGGUUAAUAGGUUCGAGGUGGAAGCAUGGUGACAUGUGGAGCUGACGAAUACUAA
This 1663-nucleotide ribosomal RNA is filed under the name Staphylococcus aureus. RNAcentral's name for it is "partial 23S ribosomal RNA". It matches the Rfam family "Bacterial large subunit ribosomal RNA", at positions 1243 to 2904 of the family's 2925-position model. The record is from RNAcentral. Lineage: Bacteria; Bacillati; Bacillota; Bacilli; Caryophanales; Staphylococcaceae.